RNAcentral lists this unclassified non-coding RNA (161 nucleotides) under uncultured fungus. RNAcentral's name for it is "sequence contains ITS1, 5.8S rRNA gene". The record is from RNAcentral. Lineage: Eukaryota; Fungi.
UAGAGUUACCAAACUCCAAACCCAUGUGAACUUACCAGUUUGUUGCCUCGGCAGGCCUCCGUAUAUCGUCUCUGGGCGGUGACGGAUCUCACAGGUCUGCCGGUGGUCCAUUAAACUCUUGAAUUACCCCGUAAAUCUGAGCGUUUUAAACAAAUAAGUUA